CCCUCCCUAAAUUUUUUUUCUCUCUUGAAGAGACGCUACUGUCAUUUCCUCUUCCUUUUCCUCUUACUCUGAAAUCUGGAACUACCUCUGGAUCCCUCCUCAUUUCUUACUCAAAAGAACUCAGUCAACGAUUCUUCUUCCAACUCAAAAUCAUCAACUCGAUCUCGUAGCCAGGAGGCGUUUGUGCUAAUUGAGGAAGAGAUAAAAAUACCCUAGUAGUUUUUAGGGAAAAAUAAAAAAUAACCGCUGCUCCUCCUCUGCACGCUUCGCCAAUCGCUCCCUCCGACGAGGUUUGCACGAUCUUCAUAACGGGAUUGCCCGAAGACGUGAAGGAGAGAGAGCUGCAAAACCUUCUGCGGUGGCUACCUGGCUAUGAAGCUUUUCAGGUUAACUUCAAAGGCGAGAAGCCUAUGGGAUUCGCUCUCACCGCCAAAGACGCUCUUCAGGAGAUGGUUUUUGAUGCGAGUCAAAGUCGGUGUUGCACACGGAGAUGGCGAAGAAGAAUCUGUUUGUGAAAAGAGGUUGGAUAUAGGCACAUUGAUUGUGCUUAAGUUUACGACAAUGAGAAGGAGUGAGUGAAGUGUGAAGAUUGGGGGAAGGACAGAGAGAAAGGGAAAUGGAAAAAGACGGAGAGGUUGUGUGCGUUACCGGAGGUAGCGGGUGCAUUGGAUCUUGGCUCGUCCGUGAACUCCUCCAUCAUGGCUACAAUGUCCAUGCCGCCGUCCAAGAUCUCAAGGAUGAGAAUGAAACGAAGCAUUUAGAAGGUCUAGAAGGAGCCGAAACUCGUCUCCGUCUCUUCCAGAUUGAUCUCCUUAACUACCCCUCCAUUCUCCGCGCUAUUAAUGGCUGUGCCGGAGUCUUCCACCUCGCCUCUCCCUGCAUCGUCGAUCAAGUCCAAGAUCCCCACAUUAAAACGACAGCGCAGUUAGAUGUAGCUCUUUCAUUUUUUGGAACUACUGCUUCGGAGGAUUUUAAGUUGAAUGAAUUCGAAGAAGCCUGUGGUGUUGGUGUUGAGGUUUCAGUCGAAGAAAUUGAACAAGCUGUAAAUGAGGUUUUUGAAGAGAAUAAGAAUGUGAUUUUGGAGCAACACUAUUGAACAAAUGUGGGUGAAUUGUUAGGGCACGUUAGGAGGCGGCACGCAUGGGGUGAUCCAAAAAUCGUGAAGGUUUGUCUGGACAUUAGAACAAUAAAACUGUCCGCAAAUUCUCUUGGGUAGCUUUUUGUUGUACUUUUUUUUAAAAUGUUUUGCGUUUAAUUAUAUUGGUUGACUCAUCAAUCUCUCCUUCUCUCUCUCUAAAUAUAGACACACACAUAUGUAAUCCCAAAUUGAAUUGUUUUUGGGGUAUAUGGCUUUGUACUUGUGCAGAGAAUGUACCCUCGUUUUGGAAAUUUUUUGUGUUUUGUAUCCUGGAAAUUGUUAUAGAACAUUUUUAUAUUGUUUGUA
Quercus lobata is the source of this 1444-nucleotide RNA transcript. It is a transcript of the gene named bifunctional dihydroflavonol 4-reductase/flavanone 4-reductase-like, with no coding region annotated. NCBI's taxonomy places the organism in Eukaryota, Viridiplantae, Streptophyta, Magnoliopsida, Fagales, Fagaceae. The record is from RefSeq and is a predicted model, not a curated record. The transcript is spliced from 10 exons.